Syngnathoides biaculeatus (alligator pipefish) is the source of this 11305-nucleotide RNA transcript. RefSeq lists it as uncharacterized. Lineage: Eukaryota; Metazoa; Chordata; Actinopteri; Syngnathiformes; Syngnathidae. The transcript has 5 exons. The record is from RefSeq and is a predicted model, not a curated record.
AUCACACUUCAAGAUGUAAUCCGGAGGACCUGUGUUUUAUUUGUCUAUCAUAUAAAUGUAGCUAAAAUUUCAUUAAAAAUAUUGAAAAAAUUCUCAACAGAACAGAAAUUAAAUAAAUUAGCAUCAAAGAGAGUCUAAAAAUUUUGUUAAAAAUGUCACUUUGAUGUGAUGUCACAUCCAGACAAAAUUUAGCCAGACAGUGAAAAAGGUAGCAAAGAUGCUGAGGAAGUGUGUUGUAUACGGUCAUUCUGCGUCAAACGCUGACAGAGUCAACUUACAUGAACAGCCGAAAGAAAAACAAUUAGGCAGGUUAUGACCAGGUUUGUGAAGAAAAAGCAGGCGCAUUGGACUUACAAAUCAAAGUCGACAUAAUAUGUUCCAAGCAUUUCACAGAGGACUGCUUUGAAAAUCCGGUAUAGCGUUCACUUGCCUUCGGUAGCGAGGGGUGAUGAAAUUUGGACACUGUAUAAAGUUAGCGUACUGUUGACGGUGAGGUCUUCCUGAAAUUCGACUACGGCAGUAUGUGCGCUGUGAUUUGCACAAUGAAAGAACGCAUGCUUGGAGUGGGGAUCAUCUCUUCCCGACCCUGUACUCGUGGUGCCAUUGUUUGUGGAGUCCUUGCGUCUGGAUGCAGUCGUCUACCCCUCUUUUCAUAAGGGCAGAUAUAAAGUUGUUUUUUUGGAUCAAGACGUGCUACGUAGAUCCAGUGGAAAAUCGGUGAGUACAAAUUUUUAAUGGUCCUGGAAUGCAAAUGGGCUAUAUCCAAAAUUAAUCAAAAAUGCAAGCUUAUUGUCUGAGUAUGCUGUAGGCCCAUCUAAUGGUUUAUUUAUAUCUGGAAUAUCAAAGGCUAAAACAAAAGUGUGGUGCUUCCCUCAAGUUAUAACAUGUAGAUUCUUCCAAGACGGCGCCUACCAGUGUGGCAGACUUCGUCAUGUUCUUCCUUGUACUGUUUGUGUUUUUGGGCAUCUCGGGACUCAAGUACAGACUUGCUAACCAUCAGAGAGUCUUCUCCUGACUUUUUCUUUUGACAAUUUUCGCCAAUCACUGAAUGUCUUUCCAGAGGUGCUCAUCAGCGCACUCUUCAAAGCCUCACGACGAAGAGGGACGCGUGUGCCGGGUACAAAAGUCCGCCUGCGAAAAGAGGGGACAUCGCCUAAUGCUUCCGACGAUCCACCUUGUGAACCUACGCUCCCUAGCCAACAAAAUGGAUGAACUUCAGCUUCUGAUUAAGACCUGCAAAGACUUUAGACUUUCGUAGCUCAGUGCUUCACGGAGACUUGGGUUUGUGGAUGAGUGCCCGAUGCCGCCCUCACACUACCCGGCUUCAACCGCCAUUAUGCGGACCAUAUUGCUGAACUAACACGGAAAUCGAAAGGCGGUGGAAUAUGCUUUUAUGUCAACGAAAAAUGGUGCACGGACGUUACACAGCUCAGCACACACCGCAGCCCACUUUUAGAGUCUCUGUUUUUGAACUAUUAGCCAUUUUAUUUGCCACGUGAGUUCACAUCUUUCAUCCCAGUCGGUGUUUAUAUUCUGUCUCAAGAUAGCAUAAACGCAGCACUGCUAACGCUCGCUGAGCAGAUUAACGAGAUUGAGAAAAAUCACCCAGAUUCACCACUCAUUACUCUAGGAGAUUUUAUCACAGCGAAACUCAACCACGAACUCCCGAAGUAUAAGCAGCACGUGAAAUUUCCAACAAGGGCAAAUAACACUCUAGACCAUUGUUAUACUUCCAUUAAAAACGCAUAUUGUACAAUCCCCCACACAGCCAUUGGCUCCUCUGAUCACUGCUUGCUGUAUUAAAUACCUACGUACGGGCAAGCACUUAAAUGUGGGAAGCCUUUUGGAAAAUCAGUCAUAAAGUGGACCAACAAGGCAAAAUUAAAACAUCAAAGCUGCUUUGACUGCACAGACUGAAGUGUCUUUGAAAAUGUGGAACUCAGCAUGUCAGUUUUUGUGAGGAAGAGUGUGUACCAACAAAAACUUUUUGCACGUUCAAUAACAACAAGCCAUGGUUUUCAGCCAGACUUAGACAACUCCACCAGGAUCAAGAGAUUGCAUAUUGUAGUGGGGACAGGGCACUCUACAAUCGCACUAGAAACCAGCUGACUAAAGAAAUUAACAUUGCAAAGAGGGACUAUGCAGUUAAACUGGAAAAACAUCUCAGUGCCAAUGACUCCAAAUCAGUUUGGCAUGGAUUACAAGUGCUCACUAACUAAAACCGACAUGCUCCCCCAGUAGAAAAUAAGAGCAGGCUAGCCGACGACCAAAAAAGCUUUUACAGAAUAUUUGAAAUAGACACUUCCACUCCACGCACCCACCAAGCCCGCACCACCUUCCACUACACCGUUUAACAACCAUGAAAGAAAGAUUAGACAGAUCUUCAAACAACAAAAGAUCAACAAAGCGCCCCACCCAGACCUUGUGUCUCCAUCCUGCCUCAAACUCUGCGCAGACCAACUUGCUCCUGUCUUCACAAACUUCAUCAUGUCUCUACAACUGUGUGAAGUACCAACCUACUUCAAACACUCCACCAUUAUACCGGUCCCCAACAAAGCAGCAGUCUCAGGUCUUAAUGAGUGGUCAUGAAAUCCUUUGAACGGUUUGUGCUGAACCACCUAAAGAUUGUCACAGGUCCCCAACUGGACCCAAUGCAGUUUACCUAUCAAGCUAACAGGUCUGUUGAUAAUGUUGUCAACAUGGGUCUGUACUUCAUCCUUGAACAUUUUGACAGCGAGGGUACCCAUUCGAGGAUCACAUUAGUGGACUGAAACACUGCUUUUACACAAUCAACCCUGAACUCCUCUACUCCAAACUUCUCCAGCUCAGCGUCUCACCUCCCGUCUCCCGGUGCAUCUACAACUUCCUGAUGGGCAGGAUACUGCAGGUGAGGCUAGGGGACACCACCUCAUCUACACGCAUUAUUAGCACCGGGGCACCCCAAGGUUGUGUCCUCUCCCCUCUGCUCUUCUCGCUCUACAUGAACGACUGCACCUUGUGGCAUCCGACUGUAAAACUCCUGAAAUUCGUAGAUGACACCACGGUCAUCGGCCUCAUCAAAGAUGGCGACGAGUCUGUGCAUCAACAGGAAGUGGCAAGAGUGGAGUUUUGGUGUGGUCAACACAACCUGGCAUUAAACACUGUAAAGACUCGGCAUAUGAUUGUGGACUUCAGGAGGCAUCUUUCACCACAGCUGCCCCUUACAGUGUCCAACUGUCUUGUGUCAACCAUUGAGACCUUCAAGUUUUUAGGAAGUACAGUCUCAGAGGACUGGAAGUGGGGAACGAACAUCAACAUGGACUAAGAAUUUAUUUGGAAGGUAGACAGAAACAAUCAACAGUGUUGGUAGAACAACACCCAUCAUAAAGUAUCUUGUUGCUUUAACCGGCACUUGGGGCUAUAGCUGGGUGGCUGAUAACCAGAAAUGGUGAUGUUAGCUUCUAUUAUCGCCCACAUAGCGCUAGCGCACAAAAACAACUUACCUCUAUUCUUUGGCAUGCAGAUGAAUGAGCCUAAACUGUGACAACCACAGCGAGGUUAAAGAAUGAGAAAUUUAGGUGCGAUUUCUCGUUUUUUGUUGCAGUAUGAUUCACAACACGCCAGCAUCUUGGUUUAGAUAGAAAGAAUUGUCAGGAAUGUUAAGCACCAUUGAUGUCACAGCGCAGGGACGUUUCUUUCGGGUCUGGCUGUGAAAACUGGCAGAUAUCCAGAUAUUGUGUGGAUUUCAAAUCUGUUCUUUGUUUUCAAUUACCCACUUUUUUUUUUAUCAAGUAAUAUCCAAAAUAUAUGUAAUCAUAUUAUUACUUCAGUUUGGAGGGUUUAUUGUACAUAUAAAUUUUGGACAAAGUCCUCCUUCAACCCAAUUGAUCUGGGACUGAAGCAUAAUUUAUCAAUCACGAAAGAUAAACAAUGCCAAUGCACUCCAGCUGCGCCACCGUGCCACCACUAUUAAUCCCAUCAUCCAUCCAUUUUCUUAGCUGCUUAUCCUCACGAGGGUUGCGGGGAGUGCUGGAGCCUAUCCCAGCUGUGCAAUGGGCAGGAGGCAGGUUACACCCUGAACUGGUUGCCAGUCAAUCGCAGAACACAUCGAGACAAACUUCCCCACUCACAUUCACACCUCGGAGCAAUUUAGAGUGUCCAAUUAAUGUUGCAUGUUUUUGGGAUGUGGGAGGAAACUGGAGUGCCCGGAGGAACAUGCAAACUCCACACAGGCGGGUGCCAUCUUAAUCAAAUAUGUACUAGAAUUUUUUUAAAUUGCGGGCCUUAAAUUCAUAAUGUUUGGGCUUCAGAUACCAUCACAAAAUAUCAGUUUCAAGCGACUUUCACCACAAACAAGCAAGACCGCCUGGCUCAUUGUGGACUGUUGUCGGACAAGUGAAAUGUCGCAGGCGGAGGAGGGAGAGGAAUCGUAAGUGGGGCUGUCGAUCUGGUAGCCUGCUAAGGCUAAAGAACAAUACACACAGAUCACCUCUUCCAAAACUGUACCUCACCAACGCCAGAUCUUUCGCCAACAGAGUGGAUGAGCUGGAAUUACACAUUGCGUAUAACUGCUGUGUUUAUGAUUGCUGCAUCCUAAUCGUAAUGGCAACCUGGCUUCACCCAAAUAUUCCCAAAGAUUGCGUCCAGCUAACAGGUUGCACCAUGCACAACUGGGAUCAGACUGAAAUCUCCGGCAAAAUCAGAGGUGGGAUUCUCUGUGAAUUCUUUUCGGAAAUUUUCUGAGAAGAAGCAUCAAGGUUUUUUCAAAUGAGAAACCCUGGAUAAUCAUCCAGGUCUAUUCACUCAGGUCAGGCACGUCUUUAGUUGAACUGAAAAAAAAAAAGGUAUCAAAAAUGCCAAAAAGGAGCACACGAGGAGGAUAGAGUCCCAUCUUGCCAGCAACAGACCUCAGGAGGUGUAGCAGGGUCUACAGAGCCUCAAAACCUUCAAAGGCUGGUAUGCAACACCAGGGGUCACAAACUAGUCGUUGGCAAAGGAGCUCAACAGCUUUUUUUGUUGCUUUGAAUCACUCAGCUGCUCCAUUGCUCCCAGCCAACCCCCAACAGGCUCCAGUAACUUUCUACUUACUCUACAGGAGUACAACGUGAGGCGUGUGCUCGUGGCUGCUGGCAUGGAUGCAGUGCCAGGCAAGGUGCUCAGUGCCCACCAAUUGUCAAGUGUCUUCUGCAAGAUCUUCAACCUCUCACUGGCCCAAGCACUCAUCCCCACUCGACAACAAUCGUUCCCAUCAAAAGAAAUCCUUAAUUAGUCUCAAUGACUAUCGCCCAUUGCCUUCACACCCGUCAUUAUCAAGUUCUUUGAGAGGCUGGUUCUCAACUACAUCAAAGACUGCCUCUCCCACCAACUUCGACUCCCAGCAGUUCACAUACUGCGUGAAUAAAUCAACAGAGGACACCAUCGGCAUAGCUCUGCAUGCUGUGUUGACUCACUUGGAACAACCACAGAGCUAUGGUACAAUGGUCUUUGUGGAUUAUAGCUCAGGCUUUAACACAAUCAUUUCGGACUUUAUGAUGAUUAAAGUGGAUAUCCUCUCACAUGCACCUGGAUCAAGGACUUCUUGACCAACAGGAGCCCAGAUUGUGAGAAUCAGCUCCCACCCUUCCUAGAGCGGGCUCACCACAGGGCUCCAUGUAUGUUAAGCCCUCUCCUGUACUCUCUACAGUUUCGACUGCAGCCCAGUCUCCAAAAAUAUCGUCAAAUUCGCUGAGAACAAAACAGUGGUCGGUCUGAUCUCAAAGGGAAAUGAAGCACCCUCGAGAGAAAAGCCCCAGAAGAUCACAACCUGGUGAACAGACAAUCUGGUACAAAAAACAAUAAAAACAAAGGAGAUCAUUUUUGUACUUCAGGAGGAACAGAGUUGAACCGGCUCCUCUGCUCAUCAAUGGCGAAUGUGUAGAGAGAGUCCACACCCUCACAAUCCCGAGAGUCCCAAUUUCUGAGUACCUCUCCUGGACAGACAAAAUCUCAGCGAUUAUCAAGAAGGUUUAACUGCACACCCUCCUGAGAGUCCUGUGGAAAAACAACCUGGAUACAAAGUUGUGGCUGGCCUUCUAACCACUCAUCCAUCAAGAGCCUGCUGGCAUACUGUCCCAAUUGGUAUGAAUGCUGGAAUGAGGAAGACGGCAAGGCUUUAGAGGACAAUCAAAACAGCAUAGACUGUUUACUGUCUACUCCCCUACUGGUAGACAUUUAUUCCUCUCUGUGCCUCAGCAGAGCUCAUAACAUUAUUAAGGAGGCCAGUUAUCAAAGUUUUGAGCUCCUUUCAUCUGGAAGGUGGUACGGAUGCACAAAAGAAAGGGCCAAAAGACUGAGGAACAGUUUUUCUUCAAGAACCAUCACCAUCCUGAACUCUCAUCUUUCCUCUAGCCGUGCUACUAAUGCACAGGCACAUUGAUUUCAUUAUAUUGAGAAAUACUAUUUACAUAUUUCUAUUUUAAUGUAUUUCUUAUUAUUUUUAUUUAGCUUUUAUGUAUGCACUGACUAAGUAGCGUCUCUCCAAUUUCAUUGUACAGUGUCGUAUGAUGACAAUAAUACAUGGCAUUCAUAAUCUUUUGAAGCUUAACUUAGAAUUCUUCUUUCGGCUCGUCCCGUUAGGGUUUGCCACGGCGUAACAUCUCAGAUGAAUGCUCAUAUUUGUUUGGCACAGUUUUUACGAAGGAUGCCCUUCCUGACACAACCCCUCUUGGAGAGUAGAGGCCGCGUUGAGAUACAAACUCAUGAUCCCUGGUUUACCAAACCAAUGCUCUAGGUCUGUAAUUAGCCUUAUUCCAUUGGUGUCUUAUGUUUCCACUUUGACUCCAAAUAUUGAGCAAUUACCAAUCAUUCCAGAGUGAAAUACAUUUACUACGCCCUAAAAUAAUUAAGUAACGUAUCCCUGAUUUAAAAGAGUCAACAUAAUUAGGGAUGCAAAAGAAGAGACAGGGCACCCUAUUCAUGUCUAAGACAGUGUGUAUUAAAGAGGUGGCUCUUUUAAACAUACAAAUCAAUAUAUUAAUGGAAUGUACAAAUAUAGCCUUUAUCUGACAGUGAUUUGUUUACAAAGAACUUAAUCCAGGAGCCCAGAGAAGCACUGGUCAUUAGCAGUAGCAUUUUAUUUACAUGCCAGGGUGACACAAGGCAGUGAAUGGUGAGCCAAAUGACUAUUGUUUAUGUUUUCAUAGGCACUGUUUUAAAAUGUUGUCAAACUACACCAUUGUUGAGCUAUGUGCCAAUCAAAAAUUCACAUAGCCAGAUGGGCGCACUUCUGAUAACCUCGCCCAACGCUGCUGAGCCUCACAGAGAAUUCUUUGUCUAUCUGCCCCCUUCCUUUCUGUAAAUAUGUCUCUUUUCUAGUGAUCCUUUAUUAUAUAGCACUUCUUGUAUCACGAUAAGUAUCCUUUCAGUCUACAUUGGUCUUCAUACUAUGAAUAAAUUGUACGUUACAGUGCAGUUUGUAUAAAGCAGAGUUUGGAAACUAACAGCCUCUAGGCCAUGGCCACUGAUAAUUUUAUCUGAGCUGGGCUUCUACAAACUCACUUCACUUCCUUGUUAAAGUAUUUAACCACAAGAUUGGCUCUGCAACCAAUAUGACAUGUGAUGACAUGACGAGAAAUACACUUAUUGGCUGACUUGCCCAUGGGAGGGACAUGCGGCAUUCAAUGCCGAAGUAAUAUCAACAAAAUUGCAGUAACUACAUGGGUGUACAUUUAUCAUCUAAUAAAAUAGUGGCAACAAUUUAUGGGAAUUGCAGGACCCAUCACCGUUGCUUUAAACGCACCUCGUCUGUCUGUGCAUCACUUUGCACUCCAUCAGGCAAGAGGUUCCCCUCAAGUUGGGUUUGUACCCCCAAACGUAAUGUAAGCGUAAAGCCCAGCAGACCUCUGGGAGCUGCGGUGGAUCUCCAUUUUGCCCAACUUAUAGCCUAUUUCGCCUGGAACCCCUUUGCAGAUGAGACAAGUUGGUUUGGCAUUUAUAAACGCAGGUGGGAUGAAUGCAUACUUUUAUUCCUACUUUUCUUUAUACGUAUACAAAAUGAUCGUGUUGCUCGAUUUUGUUGACCGAAAUCAAAACAAAGGUUUUUCCACAGUAUUGAAAGGAAGAUCAACAUGAUGAAGGAAUGUCUUCAAAAUGGCAGUAUUUAUAUGAGUGUACAUUUGUCACAUCAUAAAAUAGUGGCAACAAAUUAUGAGAAUUCCAGGACUCAUCAUUGUCUCUUCAAACGCACCUAGCCUGUCUGAAUGUGUCUUUGCACUCAAUAAGGCAAGAGGUUCACCUCACGCUGGUUUCCAUCCCCCAAGCAUAACAAAGCCCAGCAGACCUCUGGCAGCUGCAGUGCAUCUCAACUUCACAGGCUUAUCCAGGCUGGAACCCCAUUACAGAUGACACAACUUGCCUUGUCAUUGCAGGUUGGAUGAACGCAUAUUUUAUUUCAGUGUUUUUCAACCUUUUUUGAGCCACGGCACAUUUUUUACAUUGGAAAAAUUUUGUGGCACACCACUAACCAAAAAUGUUAAAAAAUGACACUCUGUAUAGUAUAUUUAAUUACAAUAUAAUUUCUCAAUUUAUUUAUACUCAGUCAGUGUGAAACCUGGGCCUGUUUAGAUGAACACAAAGCCGAUAUCCUGGCAGGAAUAGAAGAAAGACACACACAAAGCUCUUCUUCAACAGCUCUCAGUCUUUCUCUGUUUUAGUUUUUAUAGCAGUUAGGCUUGAAAAGCUUAGCUCACACAGAUAAGUUGUGGAAAAUGGGAGCAAUGUCAGAACAGCUUUGUUGGCCAGAAUGGGCAACUCCUUGGCAGCAGUCAACCAAAAACUGUCCAAAGGAAGAUCAGCAAAUCUUAGUUUUAAACCACGAUCCUGUUUCAGUUCAGUUAGUUCCUCCUGCUUUUGUAAAGUCAUGUCCUUUCCAACAACUGAUGCCGAGCUGUAUGGGUCCCUAACCCAGUCAAAGCAUUCAGUGGAGGCUGAAGAGAAAUAAAAUAACAACUUCUCCUCAAGACUUUUCAAAUGUUUACCUAUUACCUCAGACAGUGCAGCAGUGUUGCUUUGCCGUUUGUCUGUGAGUGGGAACAUCUCCAGGUUGGCACGUUGCACAUGUUGUUGCCAGAGGUGCACCUUUAAACGGAAUCCAUUUAUUUUAUUUGUGCUUGUAAGCAGGUUUUCAUUUCGGCCCUGCAUCCUUGUGUUCAGUUCAUUAAAAUGAUGAAAUAUAUCAGCCAGGUAUGCCAGCUUUGCGCACUACUCAUCACUUGCAAACAGAUUUGAGUAAUCAGACCUCUCAUUUGUCAGAAACAUUUUAAGUUCCUCUCGCAGCUCAUACACACGGGUCAGCACCUUACCGCGCGACAACCAUCGGACCUCCGUAUGGAGCAAUAAGCCUUUAUGCUCCGCUCCCAUUUCCUCACACAGAGAUGCGAAUAUACGGCUUUUCAGAGGUCAUGUCUUUACAAAGUUCACUAUGCGCACCACAUCGUCCAACACAGGAACCAGUUCUGCUGGUAAAGUCUUAGCAACAGGGCCUCACGGUGCAAAAAACAGUGUGUAACAAUCAGAUCUGGGUUUCUUUCCUUCACUCUACUCACGAAGCCUUUGGUGCACCCGACCAUGGCUGCGGCUCCAUCAGUGCACACACUUGUGCAGUUUUCCCACGUAAGUCCUCCCUGGUCAAGAUAUUCCGAUGUGAACCGAAAAAUUUCCUCUCUAGUUGUUUUUUCUGGCAGUGCCUUGCAAAAUGGGAAGUUUUCUCUAAUGGCAUCUCCAUCCACAAAACGCACAUUGGCCAAGAGCUGAGAAUGUCCACUAAUAUCCGUAGACUUGUCAACUUGCAAUCCAAAUUUCCUACUAAUGGGUAUCUUUUCCAAAACAUGGCUUUCGAUGUCUGUCGACAUGUCAUCAAUACGCCUGGCAAUUGUGUUAUCAGAGAGCGGGACUUUAGCUAUGUCUUUAACCGCAUCAGGGCCGAGCAUCUCGUUGACAAUGACUUUACAGGGAGGUAGUAUUAAUGUCUCUGCCACAGUCUGCGGCUUUUUUGAUUUAGCAACAAGUUCGGCGACUAGGUAACUAGCGUUGAGCGCUUUCUCAUUUACCUUUGUGGUUUUUCUCAUAAACGUUGCCUGUUUCUCUGUGUUUACACGCAGGCAAACAAAAUAGUCUGUCGGCUUGUUUUGAAGCGACGGGUGUGUCGUUUGGAGAUGGCGUUUAAGCUUGCUUGGCACCAUGGCGCUGUUGGAAAGCUUCUCGCCACACACCAGGCAUAACGGAAUAGGUGUCGUCUCAUCCCCGGUGAAAGUAAAUCCAAACGAAAGAUAGCUUUCACUACAUUGCCUUGAGCUAACCGUCUUUGCUUUCUUUUUCCCACCACUCAUACAAGGGCCUUCAUCCGGGUCAGAAUCUUGUCCAGGGCCCAGUUCGGAGUUUGCAGUUGUCCUUUUUAAAAACUUCUCCAUGACUGUCACCACGACCUCUCAGGUGCAUCACUAAUUCUCUUGGAGGAACGAGGCAAUCAGCUACGGGUUGCCACACGGACAAAUAUUACAUUACUCUGCUAGCCUUUACAGCAUGGACACUGGACAAUGACAUAAUAUUUGCAGAAAAUUAUUAAUAAAUGUUAAUUUAAAAAAAAAAAGGGAUAUUGUAUAAUUUCUCUCGGCACACUAGUGUGCCGCAGCGCAGUGGUUGAAAAUCACUGUUUAAUUGCCACUUCCCUUGGUAAGUACCAGAAAGAUAAAAAAUGUUGCACGAUUUUGGUGGCCAAAAUCUCAACAUUAAAGGUUUUCCACAGGAUCAACAGGUAGAUCAAUAUGUUAUACUGUUAUUUUUUUUGUUUUCUGAGAAGGUUGAUGUAAAUCUGAUGAUUAGUUUGGUCUUGGCGUGGUCAGAAAUGUGAUAAAUCAAAACAGAUGCCACCAUUGAAAAAUCUGAAAAAAGCUGGUUUAAACAUCACAUUUUUACCUCAACUAACGAGAAGCAUACUGGCACCAACACACAGUAAAAGCUUUUAGGCACAGAUUUCUGGACAAAAAGAAAAUCAGAGCCAAAUCAUGACAAUAACCCCAAAUGUGUUUUAAAAGACUAAUACAUCACACAAUAAUACUAAUACAUAGAGAAGUGUUUAUCACUCAAAAUAGGAACUAUUGAACUAAGUCUUAAAAUAAGACUGUAUAUGUAUAUAUGGCCCUGUAGCUCAGUGGUUAGAGCAUUGGUUUGGUAAACCAGGGGUUGUGGGUUCGUAUCUCACUGGGGUCUCCACUAAGGGUUGCGUCAGGAAGGGCAACCUGCGACUUGUGCGACCUCGAAAGGUUCAAGCUGAAAGAAGAAUGUUACUGAA